This 77-nucleotide transfer RNA is filed under the name Chloroflexota bacterium. RNAcentral's name for it is "tRNA-Asp". It matches the Rfam family "tRNA". Rfam says of the family: Transfer RNA (tRNA) molecules are approximately 80 nucleotides in length. Their secondary structure includes four short double-helical elements and three loops (D, anti-codon, and T loops). Further hydrogen bonds mediate the characteristic L-shaped molecular structure. tRNAs have two regions of fundamental functional importance: the anti-codon, which is responsible for specific mRNA codon recognition, and the 3' end, to which the tRNAs corresponding amino acid is attached (by aminoacyl-tRNA synthetases). tRNAs cope with the degeneracy of the genetic code in two manners: having more than one tRNA (with a specific anti-codon) for a particular amino acid; and 'wobble' base-pairing, i.e. permitting non-standard base-pairing at the 3rd anti-codon position. Lineage: Bacteria; Bacillati; Chloroflexota. RNAcentral also lists the same sequence under 1 other name. The record is from RNAcentral.
GGAGGCGUAGCUUAGUGGCUUAAAGCGCUGCCCUGUCAAGGCAGAGAUCGCGGGUUCGAAACCCGUCGCUUCCGCCA